CUAAUUCCCUAGUAUUUUCAGUAAUAAUAUGGUAAAAUAUUACUUGUUAACAUUUUCAGAAACUGUAUCUAUUACAUAAUGAAUUGAGUCCACCUUACAAUUUAAUUGCAAAAAAAAAAAGAAAUGAUGUUGCUGCCUUUAUUUUACAAAUAAGUAAAUGACAGGAUAAAAAAAUGUCUAACCUUAUUUCCAUGGAAGGCCU
Molecule: long non-coding RNA, 202 nt
Filed under: Bos taurus (domestic cattle)
Lineage: Eukaryota; Metazoa; Chordata; Mammalia; Artiodactyla; Bovidae
Description: long non-coding RNA NONBTAT019315
Source: RNAcentral